RNAcentral lists this transfer RNA (72 nucleotides) under Camelus ferus (Wild Bactrian camel). It matches the Rfam family "tRNA". Rfam says of the family: Transfer RNA (tRNA) molecules are approximately 80 nucleotides in length. Their secondary structure includes four short double-helical elements and three loops (D, anti-codon, and T loops). Further hydrogen bonds mediate the characteristic L-shaped molecular structure. tRNAs have two regions of fundamental functional importance: the anti-codon, which is responsible for specific mRNA codon recognition, and the 3' end, to which the tRNAs corresponding amino acid is attached (by aminoacyl-tRNA synthetases). tRNAs cope with the degeneracy of the genetic code in two manners: having more than one tRNA (with a specific anti-codon) for a particular amino acid; and 'wobble' base-pairing, i.e. permitting non-standard base-pairing at the 3rd anti-codon position. The record is from Rfam by way of RNAcentral. Lineage: Eukaryota; Metazoa; Chordata; Mammalia; Artiodactyla; Camelidae.
GGGUAUAUAGGUCAGUGGUAGACUGUGUGUUUAGCAUGCACUAGGUCCUUGGUUCAGUCCCUAGUACCUCCA